UGCAAGUCGAACGAUGAAGCCCAGCUUGCUGGGUGGAUUAGUGGCGAACGGGUGAGUAACACGUGAGCAACCUGCCCCUGACUCUGGGAUAAGCGCUGGAAACGGCGUCUAAUACUGGAUAUGUCCCGUCACCGCAUGGUGUGCGGGUGGAAAGAUUUUUCGGUUGGGGAUGGGCUCGCGGCCUAUCAGCUUGUUGGUGAGGUAAUGGCUCACCAAGGCGUCGACGGGUAGCCGGCCUGAGAGGGUGACCGGCCACACUGGGACUGAGACACGGCCCAGACUCCUACGGGAGGCAGCAGUGGGGAAUAUUGCACAAUGGGCGGAAGCCUGAUGCAGCAACGCCGCGUGAGGGAUGACGGCCUUCGGGUUGUAAACCUCUUUUAGCAGGGAAGAAGCGAAAGUGACGGUACCUGCAGAAAAAGCACCGGCUAACUACGUGCCAGCAGCCGCGGUAAUACGUAGGGUGCAAGCGUUAUCCGGAAUUAUUGGGCGUAAAGAGCUCGUAGGCGGUCUGUCGCGUCUGCUGUGAAAUUCCGAGGCUCAACCUCGGGCUUGCAGUGGGUACGGGCAGACUAGAGUGCGGUAGGGGAGAUUGGAAUUCCUGGUGUAGCGGUGGAAUGCGCAGAUAUCAGGAGGAACACCGAUGGCGAAGGCAGAUCUCUGGGCCGUAACUGACGCUGAGGAGCGAAAGGGUGGGGAGCAAACAGGCUUAGAUACCCUGGUAGUCCACCCCGUAAACGUUGGGAACUAGUUGUGGGGUCCUUUCCACGGAUUCCGUGACGCAGCUAACGCAUUAAGUUCCCCGCCUGGGGAGUACGGCCGCAAGGCUAAAACUCAAAGGAAUUGACGGGGACCCGCACAAGCGGCGGAGCAUGCGGAUUAAUUCGAUGCAACGCGAAGAACCUUACCAAGGCUUGACAUACACGAGAACGGGCCAGAAAUGGUCAACUCUUUGGACACUCGUGAACAGGUGGUGCAUGGUUGUCGUCAGCUCGUGUCGUGAGAUGUUGGGUUAAGUCCCGCAACGAGCGCAACCCUCGUUCUAUGUUG
RNAcentral lists this ribosomal RNA (1050 nucleotides) under Microbacterium sp. RNAcentral describes it as "bacterial SSU rRNA". It matches the Rfam family "Bacterial small subunit ribosomal RNA", at positions 56 to 1117 of the family's 1533-position model. The record is from RNAcentral. Lineage: Bacteria; Bacillati; Actinomycetota; Actinomycetes; Micrococcales; Microbacteriaceae.